RNAcentral lists this ribosomal RNA (461 nucleotides) under uncultured bacterium. RNAcentral's name for it is "bacterial SSU rRNA". It matches the Rfam family "Bacterial small subunit ribosomal RNA", at positions 1002 to 1481 of the family's 1533-position model. The record is from RNAcentral.
AGAGAUGCGAAAGUCCGCAAGGAUCCGAAACAAGGUGCUGCAUGGCUGUCGUCAGCUCGUGUCGUGAGAUGUUGGGUUAAGUUCCCGCAACGAGCGCAACCCUUAUUGUUAGUUACCAUCAUUAAGCUGGGGGACUCUAACAAGACUGCCGGCGUAAGCCGAGAGGAAGGAGGGGACGACGUCAAGUCAUCAUGGCCCUUACGCCCAGGGCUACACACGUGCUACAAUGGACGGUACAAAGAGCAGCCAACCUGCGAAGGUGCGCGAAUCUCAAAAAGCCGUUCUCAGUUCGGAUUGGAGUCUGCAACUCGACUCCAUGAAGUUGGAAUCGCUAGUAAUCGCAGAUCAGCUAUGUUGCGGUGAAUACGUUCCCGGGCCUUGUACACACCGCCCGUCAAGCCAUGAAAGCUGAGGGUGCCUGAAGUUGGGAUAACCCACCUAGGCAAAUCGGUAAUUGGGGC